UACGGAAGGCAGCAGUGGGGAAUAUUGCACAAUGGGCGCAAGCCUGAUGCAGCCAUGCCGCGUGUAUGAAGAAGGCCUUCGGGUUGUAAAGUACUUUCAGUCGUGAGGAAGGUGUUAAGGUUAAUAACCUUAGCAAUUGACGUUAGCGACAGAAGAAGCACCGGCUAACUCCGUGCCAGCAGCCGCGGUAAUACGGAGGGUGCGAGCGUUAAUCGGAAUUGCUGGGCGUAAAGGGCACGCAGGCGGUUAAUUAAGUUGGAUGUGAAAUCCCCGGGCUUAACCUGGGAAUGGCAUUCAAGACUGGUUAGCUAGAGUCUUGUAGAGGGGGUAGAAUUCCAUGUGUAGCGGUGAAAUGCGUAGAGAUGUGGAGGAAUACCGGUGGCGAAGGCGGCCCCUGGGACAAAGACUGACGCUCAUGUGCGAAAGCGUGGGGAGCAAACAGGAUUAGAUACC
RNAcentral lists this ribosomal RNA (453 nucleotides) under uncultured bacterium. RNAcentral describes it as "bacterial SSU rRNA". It matches the Rfam family "Bacterial small subunit ribosomal RNA", at positions 340 to 786 of the family's 1533-position model. The record is from RNAcentral.